This is a long non-coding RNA of Cebus imitator (Panamanian white-faced capuchin), 723 nucleotides long. RefSeq lists it as uncharacterized. The record is from RefSeq and is a predicted model, not a curated record. Lineage: Eukaryota; Metazoa; Chordata; Mammalia; Primates; Cebidae. The transcript is spliced from 3 exons.
CAGAAUGAGACCCUGUUUCAGAAAGACAAGAGAAAAAGAAAAAAAAAAGAAAUAAAAAUAACAAAAUAUUUCCUGAGGACUUCCAAGUACCAGGCUCUGCAAUCUCAGAGCCACCUCUAUUCCAUCUCUGCCCUUGGAGGGGGGGACCGGCCAGGCAGGCAUUGAAGAAACGCAGCAGGCCCCUUCCAUAGCUGGGGCGGGGAUUUCUGUGUGCCGCCCCGUCACUUCCUCUGGUCAUUCCUUUGCUCAUCCAUCCAUCCAUUCAUUCAACUCACCCCGUGCACAUUUUCCAAGAUUGCCUGUGACCUGGACCUGUGCCGGGUACAGCUGAGGAUGCCAAGGUGAAUUCCUCCUGUGCCCAGCCCCUGCCCCAGUCUGCUGGGAGAACUAGACAUCGACAAUCACAUUGCAGGGAAACACAUGCUCCAUCAGGAAAGUCCAGAGCAGGGGGUGGACAGAGAGGACCGGUGUGCACCAGAGCCUAGCUCGGGCCAGGAACCAGGCCUGGCCUGGAGCAGCCAACUGUGGGAGAAGAAGGAGUUGGUGAAAUGUGGGUCCUACCUGGACCCUCCGAAGAAGGGCUGAGGGGUAGGGGGUGAGGGGUUGAAGAUCAGGCCCUGCUGCCAUGCCACAUGGCUGUCCUCUGUCCCUGCCCCUGGGGGAGCUGAAGCUGCAUGGAAGAUCCCCCAGGGGUGCCCCGUCUAAUAAACUCGAUGAAGAGGA